This 451-nucleotide ribosomal RNA is filed under the name uncultured bacterium. Its description in RNAcentral is "partial 16S ribosomal RNA". It matches the Rfam family "Bacterial small subunit ribosomal RNA", at positions 354 to 796 of the family's 1533-position model. The record is from RNAcentral.
GUGGGGAAUAUUGGACAAUGGGGGGAACCCUGAUCCAGCCAUGCCGCGUGUGUGAAGAAGGCCUUUUGGUUGUAAAGCACUUUAAGCGAGGAGGAGGCUACCGAGAUUAAUACUCUUGGAUAGUGGACGUUACUCGCAGAAUAAGCACCGGCUAACUCUGUGCCAGCAGCCGCGGUAAUACAGAGGGUGCAAGCGUUAAUCGGAUUUACUGGGCGUAAAGCGCGCGUAGGUGGACAAUUAAGUCAAAUGUGAAAUCCCCGAGCUUAACUUGGGACUUGCAUUCGAUACUGGUUGGCUAGAGUAUGGGAGAGGAUGGUAGAAUUCCAGGUGUAGCGGUGAAAUGCGUAGAGAUCUGGAGGAAUACCGAUGGCGAAGGCAGCCAUCUGGCCUAAUACUGACACUGAGGUGCGAAAGCAUGGGGAGCAAACAGGAUUAGAAACCCUUGUAGUCC